CCACUUGUCUCCUUACCUUUAUACCAACAGGCAGAAGCUCCUGGUAUAUAGUCUGGGACAGAGAAAAGGUGUAUGUAGUGAGAGUAGAAGAAAGGAGACAUGCCACAGUGUUAGGGAGACCAAAGUCAGCAUUACAUUAAUAUUUCAUUGUCAGCCUGUCCACAUAGGUUUUGUUCCCAUACAUCCCUUUUAAGCUUCCAUACUUAAGCAAGAGUAUGUGAAGAGUAGUUAGGGUUGCCACCUUUCGUGG
Non-coding RNA from Pelobates cultripes (western spadefoot toad), 250 nucleotides. NCBI's taxonomy places the organism in Eukaryota, Metazoa, Chordata, Amphibia, Anura, Pelobatidae. The record is from the annotation of a GenBank genome assembly.